Leucoraja erinaceus (little skate) is the source of this 69-nucleotide small nucleolar RNA. RefSeq annotates it as small nucleolar RNA SNORD50. The transcript has a single exon. Lineage: Eukaryota; Metazoa; Chordata; Chondrichthyes; Rajiformes; Rajidae. The record is from RefSeq and is a predicted model, not a curated record.
UAUCAAUGAUGACAAAUCUUCCGAACCUGACAGUCUGAUGAAAACUCACACGGAUCUGACUUCUGAGAU